CUCCCCGGGCCUGGAUGCUGAUGAAACAAAGGGCUCCAGUCAGAAUCUGCUGUCCCUUCCAACUCUGCUCUCUGCCUUUCUGGGUAUGGCCCAGACUCACACAAGCCUGUUAGUGCAAGAUCUCAUCACUGGAGGCCAAACUCACGAGACAUCCUCACCAUGGCACAGGCCUGAGGUUUUCAAGGUUGUGCUGGGCAGGGAUGGAGUCUCGCUCUGUCGCUCAGGCUGGAGUGCAGUGGCGCGAUCUCAGCUCAUUGAAACCUCUGCCUCCCGGAUUCAAGCGAUUCUCGUGCCUCAGCCUCCCAAGUAGCUGAGAUUACAGAUGCAUGCCACCACA
Molecule: long non-coding RNA, 337 nt
Organism: Gorilla gorilla gorilla (western lowland gorilla)
Lineage: Eukaryota; Metazoa; Chordata; Mammalia; Primates; Hominidae
Exons: 2
Source: RefSeq, a predicted model, not a curated record